GAGCUGCGGCCUGGGACAGCAGCGAAACUGGCAGGCUAGACUGGGAAGGGAGGGGGGUGGAAUCCAGGUGUAGCGGUGAAAUGCGUAGAGAUCUGAAGGAAUACCGGUGGCGAAGGCGGCCCCCUGGACAAAGACUGACGCUCAGGUGCGAAAGCGUGGGGAGCAAACAGGAUUAGAUACCCUGGUAGUCCACGCUGUAAACGAUGUCNAUUUGGAGGUNGNGCCCUUGAGGCGUGGCUUCCGGAGCUAACGCGUUAAAUCGACCGCCUGGGGAGUACGGCCGCAAGGUUAAAACUCAAAUGAAUUGACGGAACCCCCCAUAUUUUCAAACAAAU
Molecule: ribosomal RNA, 335 nt
Filed under: bacterium enrichment culture DGGE band 1507cas3
Lineage: Bacteria
Description: bacterial SSU rRNA
Rfam family: Bacterial small subunit ribosomal RNA
Source: RNAcentral